This 253-nucleotide ribosomal RNA is filed under the name uncultured bacterium. RNAcentral describes it as "partial 16S ribosomal RNA". It matches the Rfam family "Bacterial small subunit ribosomal RNA", at positions 524 to 776 of the family's 1533-position model. The record is from RNAcentral.
UACGGGGGGGGCAAGCGUUGUUCGGAAUUACUGGGCGUAAAGGGCGCGUAGGCGGCCUUCUAAGUCGGACGUGAAAUCCCUCGGCUUAACCGAGGAACUGCGUCCGAUACUGAAAGGCUUGAAUCCGGGAGAGGGAUGUGGAAUUCCAGGUGUAGCGGUGAAAUGCGUAGAUAUCGGGAGGAACACCUGUGGCGAAAGCGGCGCACUGGACCACAUCUGACGCUGAGGCGCGAAAGCUAGGGGAGCAAACAGG